GAUCGCGGUGACGUGGGCGGUUCGCUGCCGACGAUGUCGCGAGAAGUCCACUAAACCUUAUCAUUUGAAGGAAGGAGAAGUCGUAAUAAGGUUUCCGUAGGUGAACCUGCGGAAGGAUCAUUGUCGAU
Molecule: ribosomal RNA, 128 nt
Filed under: Bikinia durandii
Lineage: Eukaryota; Viridiplantae; Streptophyta; Magnoliopsida; Fabales; Fabaceae
Description: partial 18S ribosomal RNA
Rfam family: Eukaryotic small subunit ribosomal RNA
Source: RNAcentral